CCCCAUGCCGAACUCAGAAGUGAAACGCCGUAGCGCCGAUGGUAGUGUGGGGUCUCCCCAUGCGAGAGUAGGGAACUGCCAGGCAU
This 86-nucleotide ribosomal RNA is filed under the name Escherichia coli O10:K5(L):H4 str. ATCC 23506. The record is from RNAcentral. Lineage: Bacteria; Pseudomonadati; Pseudomonadota; Gammaproteobacteria; Enterobacterales; Enterobacteriaceae.